RNAcentral lists this ribosomal RNA (253 nucleotides) under uncultured bacterium. RNAcentral's name for it is "partial 16S ribosomal RNA". It matches the Rfam family "Bacterial small subunit ribosomal RNA", at positions 524 to 776 of the family's 1533-position model. The record is from RNAcentral.
UACAGAGGGGGCAAGCGUUGUCCGGAGUUACUGGGCGUAAAGGGUCCGCAGGCGGCUUGGCAAGUGUUGUGUGAAAGCCCCGUGCUUAACACGGGGAGGCCACAGCAGACUGCCUGGCUCGAGCCAUGCAGAGGGUGGUGGAAUUGCCGGUGUAGUGGUGAAAUGCGUAGAGAUCGGCAGGAACACCCAGGGCGAAAGCAGCCACCUGGGCAUGCGCUGACGCUGAGGGACGAAAGCGUGGGGAGCGAACCGG